RNAcentral lists this ribosomal RNA (253 nucleotides) under uncultured bacterium. RNAcentral's name for it is "partial 16S ribosomal RNA". It matches the Rfam family "Bacterial small subunit ribosomal RNA", at positions 524 to 776 of the family's 1533-position model. The record is from RNAcentral.
UACGUAGGUGGCGAGCGUUAUCCGGAAUUACUGGGCGUAAAGCGCGCGUAGGCGGUUUUUUAAGUUUGAUGUGAAAGCCCACGGCUCAACCGUGGAGGGGCAUUGGAAACUGGAAAACUUGAGUGCAGAAGAGGAGAGUGGAAUUCCAUGUGUAGCGGUGAAAUGCGUAGAUAUAUGGAGGAACACCAGUGGCGAAGGCGACUCUCUGGUAUGCAACUGACGCUGAGGCCCGAAAGCGUGGGGAGCAAACAGG